GAGAUGGUAACUGUUGGUGGAGACGCUGACUUGGCAGCUUACCACUCCAGUGCGUUGGAGAAGCCCAACCCCAGAGCCACUGAUUCAGUCAACCAAAGGCUGGCAGGAAGGACUUCCCAAAACACCCACCUCUGAGGCCUUUCCAGAGGAUUUGCUGAAUGCCGAGACAGUAGGCAAACAAGAGAAGAAGGAGGUGGUUUCUGUGAGCCCCACCGUGUUAGCUGCUGAACAGAACCCUACAUCUGGUUCAAGCUUCCAGGUGGGCUUAGGCCUUGAACUUCAGGCAGAGCCCCUCCAGUCCCCUGGCAUGGAGAGCAAUGACUUUAACGUGAGUCCUCCCGGUCACGACGACAUCGGCCGGGCUGAUAUGUACCGCUGGAAGGUCUCUGCCCAGGCUCCCUGCAGCUCCACCUGUACCUCGGGUAUUAGUGCCUCCUACGCCAUGUGUGUGCGUUAUGAUGGAGUGGAAGUGG
This 473-nucleotide long non-coding RNA is filed under the name Vombatus ursinus (common wombat). RNAcentral's name for it is "lncRNA (ENSVURG00010008602.1)". Lineage: Eukaryota; Metazoa; Chordata; Mammalia; Diprotodontia; Vombatidae. The record is from RNAcentral.